GAUGAAGAACGUAGCGAAAUGCGAUAAGUAGUGUGAAUUGCAGACUUUAGUGAAUCAUCGAAUCUUUGAACGCACAUUGCGCCCCUUGGUAUUCCAUUGGGCAUGCCUGUUCGAGCGUCAUUUACACCCUCAAGCCUAGCUUGGUGUUGGGCGUUGUCCGCAAGGACUCGCCUCAAAUUCAUUGGCAGCGGCAUCGUCAGCUUCUCGCGCAGCACAUUGCGCUUCAGAAGGCUUCUGGCGGGCUCGCGUCCACUAAGAUACCACCCAGUUUGACCUCGAAUCAGGUAGGGAUACCCGCUGAACUUAAGCAUAUCAAAAGCAGAGGA
RNAcentral lists this unclassified non-coding RNA (326 nucleotides) under soil metagenome. RNAcentral's name for it is "partial contains 5.8S ribosomal RNA, internal transcribed spacer 2, and large subunit ribosomal RNA". The stretch from base 1 to 120 matches the Rfam family "5.8S ribosomal RNA", at positions 35 to 154 of the family's 154-position model. The record is from RNAcentral.